RNAcentral lists this long non-coding RNA (993 nucleotides) under Pollicipes pollicipes. RNAcentral describes it as "uncharacterized LOC119103571". Lineage: Eukaryota; Metazoa; Arthropoda; Thecostraca; Pollicipedomorpha; Pollicipedidae. The record is from RNAcentral.
CCUUGAUUCGCAAUGGCUGCGCCCGGUGGCGUGGUUGAGGCGGCCGGCCCCAUAACCAUUGGAUGCGCAGAUUUUCUUGCCUUUCAGGAGGUGUUAAAGAAGUCUCGCACCAUAGAUGAUAAAAUCAUUUAUGCACUUAACAAAUCAUUGCCUACACAGUCUUUUGAGGGUCAAGUGGAUGCAUCCAAGACUUGCAAAGAUCUGUACUCAAAGCUAAGGGAAAGCUACCGUGCCCGUGGGGCAGCAAUCAGGCGCUGUGUGGAGGAGACAGCUGGCCAUGUGGAGGCAUUACGGCAGCGGCGUGAGGUCGACCAGGACAGCCAGGACAACUAUGACUUACUCAGGGAGCUCCGGAGGGAGCAGUCCAAGCUGCGGUUAUACCGGUCGGAGCUGAGCGUAGAGGAAGUGGUUCGCGACCGGAGCCGAGCGAUCGUCUCUGAGCGAUGUCGGCUCUUCUACGCGCCCGACCCAUCUACCGACCUGCUCAACAACUAGUGACUGCCGGCCUGGGGCGGGCCCGGCAACAGCGCGCGCGCCGGCAGCCGUGCGCCGGACCAAGCGGCGGGAGGCCAGAGUGAAUGGGGGCGUGUCUGCCGGUAUGAGCUUGCGUUGUUUGUAAUACACUGCGUGACUUGGUGCCGAUGGUGUGUGCGAAUACGGGAGUGUGGCCGCCGCCCGGCCGGCACGCAGGCUGCUGCCAGGUGCUGAACAGGCGGUCGUUGUCCCCGUAGUCCGGUCGUGGCUGGCUGUGAGCCGGCCAAGCCGACUGCCCACGGUACAGCGCAGUUGUCGCGCUGUCGUGCUCAGCAUGGCGGGACGCGCUGCCUCGCGUUGGAGGCAGCGUUUCACGCGGGUAGAGCAAUAUUGUGAACUGCUUGUUCCGCCGGACCAUCUAUGGGCGUACCUUUCAAGCAUGUGUUCGUAUAUGUGCAACUUGUUUGGAAUAUUAUCAUGCACGAGUCGCGGGGUCGGCAAUGAACUUUGCAUGAUUUA